UACGUAGGGUGCGAGCGUUAAUCGGAAUUACUGGGCGUAAAGUGUGCGCAGGCGGCCGCGCAAGUCGAGUGUGAAAGCCCCGAGCUUAACUUGGGAACUGCGCUCGAAACUACGUGGCUGGAGUGUGGCAGAGGAAGGUGGAAUUCCAGGUGUAGCGGUGAAAUGCGUAGAGAUCUGGAGGAACACCGAUGGCGAAGGCAGCCUUCUGGGCCAACACUGACGCUCAUGCACGAAAGCGUGGGGAGCAAACAGG
RNAcentral lists this ribosomal RNA (253 nucleotides) under uncultured bacterium. RNAcentral describes it as "partial 16S ribosomal RNA". It matches the Rfam family "Bacterial small subunit ribosomal RNA", at positions 524 to 776 of the family's 1533-position model. The record is from RNAcentral.